CCGGUCCCGGUUCACGUCCGCACCCGCGGCGACCCGGCGGCC
Molecule: non-coding RNA, 42 nt
Filed under: unclassified sequences
Description: L31-Actinobacteria ribosomal protein leader
Rfam family: L31-Actinobacteria ribosomal protein leader
Source: RNAcentral